RNAcentral lists this unclassified non-coding RNA (387 nucleotides) under anaerobic digester metagenome. RNAcentral describes it as "cspA". It matches the Rfam family "cspA thermoregulator", at positions 128 to 428 of the family's 428-position model. The record is from RNAcentral.
CAAUGCAGGAUAUUUACUGCAGAAUUAUGUUAAAAUAUCUUGCAAAUUUACAAGUAUGGUGUAUACUUGUAUUAUUCGCCUCUACGUGAGGAAUUUUAGGAGGUAUAUUUAGAAGUAUGAUCGGUAAGGUAAAAUGGUUUAAUGCGGACAAAGGUUUCGGUUUUAUUGAGACAGAGGAAGGAAAAGACGUUUUCGUCCACUUCUCUUCCAUCCAGAGUGAUGGCUUUAAAACCCUUGACGAAGGCCAGAGCGUUGAGUUUGACAUCGUUCAGGGCAACCGCGGCCCACAGGCCUCAAAUGUGGUUAAAUUAUAGAAUAAAAGAAUUUCUUUUAAAUAUAAUUUAAACGCGCCAAGUAAAAGGCAGCCGAAAACGGCUGCCUUUUACU